GGUCUUCCCAUUCAUAUAAAGAAGGCAGUUGCACAUUCACUUGGCUAUUAAAAGAUUGGUUUCCAGUUGCAUAUCCUGAAUUGUUCACUUGCGCAGCUGGUAGAUUCUGAUAAUAUUGCAUGUUGAUGGCAUCUUGAAACGAGCAAAUCUGUAUCUCACAGUUUGGAUUUGAGGUUGUUUGUGAGCUUCCAUGACUAGCAAUACCAACUGUGAGAUUAGCCAUUUGAUGCCCGAGAAUUUCUAUCUCCUCUUGUAAGCUGGCUAUCUGCAAGACAAGUUGAAAGGAUGUAUAAAUUUGUGUUGAGUUAAACCGACUUAAAUUCUAGGUCAAUUGUACAGAUGUUGAGGCUGUUGGAGAAAGAACAUAGAAACCUGUUGUUGGAGUGCAAAAAUAUGAGCAACACAGCCGUAUAUGGGAUCCCGCAUCCGAGCCAGUGCUUCAUAAGAUAUGGUGAUAGCAGCAUCACUUCGACUCUGUACUGGCAGGUGUAAUAAUAGCUUUGAAACAUUGCUUGCACCAAACACCUUGUGCACUGCUAGGAAGUGGGUUGCAGCCUGGUCAUAACUGAAGUAAGGUGCAAACACACAUUCACUCGUGCACUUUCUUCUGAGGAACUUGCAUGCUCCACAUGAAGAGCCCGGCCCUGUCAUUGUCCUAUGCUUUUUCAAUUAUCUGUGUCAAGUUGAUUUUGCUUGUACUAGGGCUGGUUUGUGUAGGAACUAGUGUUGAGAUUUUCUCUUUAUAAUCAUCGCUUACAAGUGUCAUAAGCCCUUUUUGUUGUGGCCAAGAGACAUUCCUCACUUUUCUUAAAAGUAGGUUUCUUUUGGGUCUCCCUCAUGGGCUACAGUUGUCAUUCUCAAACUGGGUAAGCUUUCCUAAUUUAUGCAUGCUUUUUUUCAUUAAUAUAGAC
Molecule: unclassified non-coding RNA, 911 nt
Filed under: Hevea brasiliensis (rubber tree)
Lineage: Eukaryota; Viridiplantae; Streptophyta; Magnoliopsida; Malpighiales; Euphorbiaceae
Source: RNAcentral